RNAcentral lists this ribosomal RNA (270 nucleotides) under uncultured archaeon. RNAcentral's name for it is "partial 16S ribosomal RNA". It matches the Rfam family "Archaeal small subunit ribosomal RNA", at positions 477 to 747 of the family's 1478-position model. The record is from RNAcentral.
CUGCAGCUCAAGUGGUGGCCGCUAUUAUUGGGCCUAAAACGUCCGUAGCCGGUUUAGUAAAUGCCUGGGUAAAUUGUGUAGCUUAACUAUACGAAUACCGGGUAGACUGCUAAACUUGGGACCGGGAGAGGCUAGAGGUACUCCUAGGGUAGAGGUGAAAUUCUGUAAUCCUAGGGGGACCACCAGUGGCGAAGGCGUCUAGCUAGAACGGGUUUGACGGUGAGGGACGAAGCCCUGGGGCGCGAACCGGAUUAGAUACCCGCGUAGUCC